Chaetomium globosum CBS 148.51 is the source of this 196-nucleotide small nuclear RNA. It matches the Rfam family "U2 spliceosomal RNA". From Rfam's summary of the family: U2 is a small nuclear RNA (snRNA) component of the spliceosome (involved in pre-mRNA splicing). Complementary binding between U2 snRNA (in an area lying towards the 5' end but 3' to hairpin I) and the branchpoint sequence (BPS) of the intron results the bulging out of an unpaired adenosine, on the BPS, which initiates a nucleophilic attack at the intronic 5' splice site, thus starting the first of two transesterification reactions that mediate splicing. NCBI's taxonomy places the organism in Eukaryota, Fungi, Ascomycota, Sordariomycetes, Sordariales, Chaetomiaceae. The record is from Rfam.
UUAGCUCUCUUUGCCUUUUGGCUUAGAUCAAGUGUAGUAUCUGUUCUUUUCAGUUUAAUCUCUGAAACUGCUCUACGGAGUAGAUUUAUUUGAUUAAAUUAAUUUUUGUCCCUCGGGACUCAGUCCACUCGGCUUGCCGAGCCUGAAUCCCACCGUGUCUCCAGUAUCACACUGCCUCUGGACGACGCAAACCACU